This is a non-coding RNA of Acanthosepion pharaonis, 112 nucleotides long. Lineage: Eukaryota; Metazoa; Mollusca; Cephalopoda; Sepiida; Sepiidae. The record is from the annotation of a GenBank genome assembly.
UCCGGCCAAAUCAAGCCGAAACCCCGGUUCUCGUCCGAUAACCGAAGUUAAGCAACGUUGAACGUGGCUAGUACCUUGAAGGGUGAUCGCUCGGGAAUCCAGGAAUUGUCAG